This 460-nucleotide ribosomal RNA is filed under the name uncultured bacterium. RNAcentral describes it as "partial 16S ribosomal RNA". It matches the Rfam family "Bacterial small subunit ribosomal RNA", at positions 338 to 795 of the family's 1533-position model. The record is from RNAcentral.
CCUACGGGUGGCAGCAGUGAGGAAUAUUGGUCAAUGGACGCAAGUCUGAACCAGCCAUGCCGCGUGCAGGAAGACGGCUCUAUGAGUUGUAAACUGCUUUUGUACGAGGGUAAACGCAGAUACGCGUAUCUGUCUGAAAGUAUCGUACGAAUAAGGAUCGGCUAACUCCGUGCCAGCAGCCGCGGUAAUUAGGAUGAUUCAAGCGUUAUCCGGAUUUAUUGGGUUUAAAGGGUGCGUAGGCGGUCGGAUAAGUUAGAGGUGAAAGCCCGAGGCUCAACUUCGGAAUUGCCGCUGAUACUGGUCGGCUAGAGAGUAGUUGCGGUAGGCGGAAUGUAUGGUGUAGCGGUGAAAUGCUUAGAGAUCAUACAGAACACCGAUUGCGAAGGCAGCUUACCAAGCUACUUCUGACGUUGAGGCACGAAAGCGUGGGGAGCAAACAGGAUUAGAUACCCGAGUAGUC